AUAUCCAAAAUUUUGUUUUUUUUUUUUUCCAAAUUCACUUGUUUUUAAGCUUUAACAGGACAUGCCAGAAUUCAACUAGCAGUGAUGGAAGGAGCAGAGGAAGACCAGUGACAUCUGGUUGUGGUGACAACAAAUUAUAUGAUCGCUUGCCGAAGGAUGCAUCAGGUAUCUGUGCCCUCGCGUCUUUGAUAAUGCCUGUAGUGGUUGUCCCCAUUGAAAUACAGAAUCUCAAUUGGAACAUGGAGUCCCCACUGGCGGGGCUCCUGAAGCGAGCCAAAA
Long non-coding RNA from Syngnathus acus (greater pipefish), 279 nucleotides. RefSeq lists it as uncharacterized. The transcript has 3 exons. The record is from RefSeq and is a predicted model, not a curated record. Lineage: Eukaryota; Metazoa; Chordata; Actinopteri; Syngnathiformes; Syngnathidae.